Molecule: long non-coding RNA, 454 nt
Organism: Fopius arisanus
Lineage: Eukaryota; Metazoa; Arthropoda; Insecta; Hymenoptera; Braconidae
Exons: 3
Source: RefSeq, a predicted model, not a curated record
UGAGUUGUCUGGUAAUGCAUUAAUUAUCCACCGGGGAGUGCUCACAGAUGCCAAGGCUAGACUCUCCAACAAGUCACUGAGGCACUCGUCGUAAUUACCGAGCUGUUUGUAAUUACCGGUUAUUACGCCAGACGGGAUCUUCGCUGACGCAUCGUACACUGGAAAGCAGUUUUGAAGAUUGCGUGAUUCGAUAUUUAUUGGGACUCAUUCUUAUUUAGGGGUAAACAGACCUGAUGACAGUUGGAGUUCUUCAGGAACUCCAAUCGAGUUCUCAUGGAAUUUUUGGAGAACUUUCUUUUUCGUUACGCAAAUCGCGUAGAAAAUCGCUGCGAAUUCGAAACGAGUGAUUUCUAUUGAAAAUAUUAUUCGUACAGAAAUAUUUUAUAGAAUAAUCUAGUCUUCCAAGGAAUUUAUUAACAAAAAAUGUUGUUAUUCUGCAUAAUUGUUAAAAAUU